UACGAAGGGGGCUAGCGUUGCUCGGAAUUACUGGGCGUAAAGCGCACGUAGGCGGUCUUUUAAGUCGGGGGUGAAAUCCUGGAGCUCAACUCCAGAACUGCCUUCGAUACUGGAAGACUUGAGUCCGGGAGAGGUGAGUGGAACUGCGAGUGUAGAGGUGAAAUUCGUAGAUGUUCGCAAGAACACCAGUGGCGAAGGCGGCUCACUGGCCCGGUACUGACGCUGAGGUGCGAAAGCGUGGGGAGCAAACAGG
This 253-nucleotide ribosomal RNA is filed under the name uncultured bacterium. RNAcentral describes it as "partial 16S ribosomal RNA". It matches the Rfam family "Bacterial small subunit ribosomal RNA", at positions 524 to 776 of the family's 1533-position model. The record is from RNAcentral.